Molecule: ribosomal RNA, 447 nt
Filed under: uncultured bacterium
Lineage: Bacteria
Description: bacterial SSU rRNA
Rfam family: Bacterial small subunit ribosomal RNA
Source: RNAcentral
UGGGGAAUCUUGGACAAUGGGCGAAAGCCUGAUCCAGCAAUGCCGCGUGAGUGAUGAAGGCCUUAGGGUUGUAAAGCUCUUUUACCAGGGAUGAUAAUGACAGUACCUGGAGAAUAAGCUCCGGCUAACUCCGUGCCAGCAGCCGCGGUAAUACGGAGGGAGCUAGCGUUGUUCGGAAUUACUGGGCGUAAAGCGUACGUAGGCGGUGACUCAAGUCAGAGGUGAAAGCCUGGAGCUCAACUCCAGAACUGCCUUUGAAACUAGGUCGCUAGAAUCACGGAGAGGUGAGUGGAAUUCCGAGUGUAGAGGUGAAAUUCGUAGAUAUUCGGAAGAACACCAGUGGCGAAGGCGGCUCACUGGACGUGUAUUGACGCUGAGGUACGAAAGCGUGGGGAGCAAACAGGAUUAGAUACCCUAGUAGUCCCUGAGCGGGCUGGCAAGGCGCAU